Pezoporus occidentalis (night parrot) is the source of this 1515-nucleotide long non-coding RNA. RefSeq lists it as uncharacterized. The transcript is spliced from 4 exons. The record is from RefSeq and is a predicted model, not a curated record. Lineage: Eukaryota; Metazoa; Chordata; Aves; Psittaciformes; Psittacidae.
GGUGUUGGGAGGCAAACACCGGUUUAAACUUCAUAACGCUUUUGUGCUCCGAGAGUAAUGCCCUCUGAGCAAACUGAGCAUCCGCUUAAAAACUGUCCCCCCCAAAAACUAGACGUAGCGAGCAGAGACAGCGCCGCUGUAAGUUACAUGCUAAAAAGAGGCGAUACAGUGACAUUCACAAAAGUAAACAACUAAAACCAGGAGAAGCUCUAUUCAGGGACAAAGAAAAAAACACAUUUGGUAUAACCAGUCAAAUGACAUUCCAGGAACAUUCACGUGGCUGGGGGUCCCUAGUGGCUGAAACUACAAAACGUUUGGCUUCUCUGUUUAUUUAGUGACAUAAAAUGUGGAAGGCUUUUGCCAGAUCAUUUGGAAGAGACUUAGUGGAAUAUGAAUGGUAUCAAACACUGAUGAAGGCAAAAGAGCUGCUGCUCUCCAGCACCUGGCAGCACAGUUUUAUGGUUGCAUUUGGCUUGAGAAAUCCCAUCUUUCAAAUUCUUGCCAAAUAGACAUUGCUGUGUGUUUUAGAAGAAAAAGAAAUCAUCUACUGCACCUGUUGUUAUUUAUGGAUAGCAGUAAAAAGCUCUGAAGAAGGUUCUGUUAUGGACAAUGGAGAUGAAAACUGAAGUGCAGAAUAGGAAUAAUUCAGGGACAAGAACUGAAUGAUGAACUUCCAUUUCACAAGGAUGGAGCCCUUAAGAGAAUAAGCUACAGCAAAGGUGAUAGUUCUGGAAGAUGAGCUGGGGGUGUGACCAGUCAACCCAGUUAAACAGAAUUUGACAGCGUGAGUUAAACAGAACUUCUGGCCAUAAUUCAGGUGGCUUUCAGGACUGAGAAGGCUUUUUUUAGUGUAAAUGGUCUGUAAGUCUGAGGUUGGGGAUGGUUUUUGAGAUUGGUCCUGAUGGUUAACCCAGCAGUCCUCUGGUGGCAUAUAACACCUUCAUGUCAAUUUUUCCUGCUAUUUCCUUUGAUUUCUCUAGAUGUAAAAAGUACUCUACUGAAAUGGCAAACUAUAAAAUAGUAAUAAGUAAAGCAAAUAAGCACAUCAGUAAGCAUUAAUAAAAGUAAUGGCACCAAGUAAUUAUGCACGUGAUUCGGGAUGUUUUCACAUCCAUAAAAGAGGUUGAGUAUGUUCAGUUUCAAAUAGUGAUUUAUCCUUUUUCUCCUAAAGUUUAUUUUCAGAAGUGCACCUGAGUUGUAGCUUUCCUAAUGCAAAAGUUUUGGAGUGUUGUCCUUACUUGCCAAAACUCCCUCCUCUAACUGAACUAACUCUCUAGCAAGUGCAAAGUCUCAGAGGAGUGAAGCAAGGGAGAGCUUUGCCACUUCAAAUAUAAAGAGCUAGAACCAGACAAAAGUCUGACUGCUUCUUCUACAUGAAAGGCAUGCUCUGAGUUAAAACAGAGACUUGGGAAGAGAUUCCUGACAAUCCAGACUUGUUUUUCCCACUGGUGCCAAGAGGAUGUGACCUCUUGGACGGUACCAUUGGUCACCUCUGGGUACUGCUGGUGGUGGAGC